This is a small nucleolar RNA of Tachyglossus aculeatus (Australian echidna), 138 nucleotides long. The record is from RefSeq and is a predicted model, not a curated record. Lineage: Eukaryota; Metazoa; Chordata; Mammalia; Monotremata; Tachyglossidae.
CCCCUCUCAGGGUCGAACCUGGAGAGUUUCCAGUACUCUACCAGUCUUGGCUACAGGAGGGAGAGUCAAUCAGAGGCCUAACUAUUCCAGUUCCAGCUUGGCCAGUGGCUUGUGAAUGGAAGGCAAUCUGCUACAAGU